UGGCACAUGCUUUGCACAUGCUUUUUACCCAAUUAGGGCUUUUUACCUCUAGAUUAACGAUGCAGCUCCAAUCCGCGUAGAAGAUCAUCGAAAGGCCGCCCAUGGCUCCUGACAGCGUGACUCCCCUCAACAGAAGCAGUGCCAUCGUGGUCAGAGGCACGGUGCUGAAGGUACCGCUGUUGCCUUCGCCCGAGAACUGACCAAGAGUGCUCUCCAGGUGCAUAAUGGGCAUCGCAAUGGUCAGCAGAAAUACCAGAUUUGGUGCAGUUAAGCGCCGAACAUCCACCCAUUUCUGCGUUGAAAACACGCUGACGCUAUGCGACUCCAGUAGAACUUCGAACCGGAAGCGUACAUCCACGUGACAGUGCAACUUCCCUUACGUCAUUUUGACAGGAAGUUGCAAAC
Molecule: long non-coding RNA, 405 nt
Organism: Ornithodoros turicata
Lineage: Eukaryota; Metazoa; Arthropoda; Arachnida; Ixodida; Argasidae
Exons: 3
Source: RefSeq, a predicted model, not a curated record